CUGGCAGCGCUCGUUGCCUGGAAACCUGCGCACAGAGGUUCUGCGGCGGCUGGGCCCUCGGGAAGUGAUGAGCUUCACAACAAAGCGUGUGGGCUGUGUAUGUGGUGCCCGUGUGCGCGCACGCAGGGUACCCAAAUACCGGGGCCAUACAGAUACGCAGGGUACCCAAAUGCCAGGGCCACACACACACAUAGGCAGGGUACCCAAAUACAGGGCAUGCCCUGUGCAGCCCUCUCAGGGUAGCUGGAUGAGAGCAGGGCUUCUGGGCCGGCUGCCCGCCAGGUCUCCAGCCACCGUGAUACUGGGAAGCGGUGGGUAACAAAUGCCAUGGUGCGUUCCUCUUCUGGAAGCUCCUAGAAAGGCAGACCUGGCCAAGCAAAAGAUAUGAAAGAGCUUAAUUGGUUUAUGUGCUAACAUCAGCACUCCUUGGUGCAGUGUGUAUCCACGUAAUUAUUUAUGGAUAUUUAUGUCAGCUGACAAUAUCUAGCCGUGGCUUUUAAUUGGGUUGUAUUCACUGACUGUAUCAUAGUCUCUUGAAGGAAUAAAUGCAGAAAUGAACAGAAAUGAACGAUCUGACAAAGGCUGUUAAUCUGGCCACAAGUUUCCAUGCAUGUGUCAAAGCAGCCCUGAGAGAUGCACUGGUUACAGUUCCUUCGGAAACUCGUCAGCCUGCUGAGCUGCAUCAGCUUUCAGCUGCGGCCCACCCAGCGGGAGAGCUGAAGAACUGCAGGGCAGCCUUGUUAAAAAACUGCUCAGUGCAGCCAUGGCUCAGCCUCAGCCUCUGACAGCCCAUCAGCGGAAGCUACGAACAUCUGGGUGCCUGCCCGGAGAUGGAAUUACCCUGACCAGUUACUUCAGCUAAGCAGCUUUUAGCACAGGGGAGCUGAAAUUCAAUAAAAUGAAAAUGCCAUUCGGUGUUACUGAUACAGUGAGUUGAAUGUGUAAUGUCAGUUUGAAAAUACACUGUAUGGGUGUAGUAAUAUUAGCUAUAAUGUUAUCUUAAACUCUAUGUGCAGUGUGUGCAAUACACUUUAAAUCAUUGUCACACCUGAGAGCAGCAGCAGCCCUUGCAUUAAUAUACAGAUACUAUAGUUAUUUUAAUGCUGAAAGCUUUAUUGUAGUAAUAAACCUUUUGAAGGAUG
This is a long non-coding RNA of Anas platyrhynchos (mallard), 1142 nucleotides long. RefSeq lists it as uncharacterized. The record is from RefSeq and is a predicted model, not a curated record. Lineage: Eukaryota; Metazoa; Chordata; Aves; Anseriformes; Anatidae.